RNAcentral lists this ribosomal RNA (463 nucleotides) under Vreelandella stevensii. RNAcentral describes it as "partial 16S ribosomal RNA". It matches the Rfam family "Bacterial small subunit ribosomal RNA", at positions 340 to 795 of the family's 1533-position model. Lineage: Bacteria; Pseudomonadati; Pseudomonadota; Gammaproteobacteria; Oceanospirillales; Halomonadaceae. The record is from RNAcentral.
UACGGGUGGCUGCAGUGGGGAAUAUUGGACAAUGGGCGAAAGCCUGAUCCAGCCAUGCCGCGUGUGUGAAGAAGGCCUUCGGGUUGUAAAGCACUUUCAGUGGGGAAGAAAGCCUUGGGGCUAAUACCCUCGAGGAAGGACAUCACCCACAGAAGAAGCACCGGCUAACUCCGUGCCAGCAGCCGCGGUAAUACGGAGGGUGCGAGCGUUAAUCGGAAUUACUGGGCGUAAAGCGCGCGUAGGCGGUCUGAUAAGCCGGUUGUGAAAGCCCCGGGCUCAACCUGGGAACGGCAUCCGGAACUGUCAGGCUAGAGUGCAGGAGAGGAAGGUAGAAUUCCCGGUGUAGCGGUGAAAUGCGUAGAGAUCGGGAGGAAUACCAGUGGCGAAGGCGGCCUUCUGGACUGACACUGACGCUGAGGUGCGAAAGCGUGGGUAGCAAACAGGAUUAGAUACCCUAGUAGUC